RNAcentral lists this ribosomal RNA (548 nucleotides) under Hanseniaspora uvarum. RNAcentral's name for it is "partial large subunit ribosomal RNA". It matches the Rfam family "Eukaryotic large subunit ribosomal RNA", at positions 50 to 600 of the family's 3401-position model. The record is from RNAcentral. Lineage: Eukaryota; Fungi; Ascomycota; Saccharomycetes; Saccharomycodales; Saccharomycodaceae.
GCGGAGGAAAAGAAACCAACUGGGAUUACCUUAGUAACGGCGAGUGAAGCGGUAAAAGCUCAAAUUUGAAAUCUGGUACUUUCAGUGCCCGAGUUGUAAUUUGUAGAAUUUGUCUUUGAUUAGGUCCUUGUCUAUGUUCCUUGGAACAGGACGUCAUAGAGGGUGAGAAUCCCGUUUGGCGAGGAUACCUUUUCUCUGUAAGACUUUUUCGAAGAGUCGAGUUGUUUGGGAAUGCAGCUCAAAGUGGGUGGUAAAUUCCAUCUAAAGCUAAAUAUUGGCGAGAGACCGAUAGCGAACAAGUACAGUGAUGGAAAGAUGAAAAGAACUUUGAAAAGAGAGUGAAAAAGUACGUGAAAUUGUUGAAAGGGAAGGGCAUUUGAUCAGACAUGGUGUUUUUUGCAUGCACUCGCCUCUCGUGGGCUUGGGCCUCUCAAAAAUUUCACUGGGCCAACAUCAAUUCUGGCAGCAGGAUAAAUCAUUAAGAAUGUAGCUACUUCGGUAGUGUUAUAGCUUUUUGGAAUACUGUUAGCCGGGAUUGAGGACUGCGC